Molecule: ribosomal RNA, 497 nt
Filed under: uncultured bacterium
Lineage: Bacteria
Description: partial 16S ribosomal RNA
Rfam family: Bacterial small subunit ribosomal RNA
Source: RNAcentral
GAUGAACGCUGGCGGCGUGCCUAAUACAUGCAAGUCGAGCGAACAGAUGUGGAGCUUGCUCCUCUGACGUUAGCGGCGGACGGGUGAGUAACACGUGGAUAACCUACCUAUAAGACUGGGAUAACUUCGGGAAACCGGAGCUAAUACCGGAUAAUAUAUUGAACCGCAUGGUUCAAUAGUGAAAGACGGUUUUGCUGUCACUUAUAGAUGGAUCCGCGCCGCAUUAGCUAGUUGGUAAGGUAACGGCUUACCAAGGCAACGAUGCGUAGCCGACCUGAGAGGGUGAUCGGCCACACUGGAACUGAGACACGGUCCAGACUCCUACGGGAGGCAGCAGUAGGGAAUCUUCCGCAAUGGGCGAAAGCCUGACGGAGCAACGCCGCGUGAGUGAUGAAGGUCUUCGGAUCGUAAAACUCUGUUAUUAGGGAAGAACAAAUGUGUAAGUAACUAUGCACGUCUUGACGGUACCUAAUCAGAAAGCCACGGCUAACUACGAG